GUUGUAAAUUGUUCUUGAAUAGUUCAAAAUAGUUGGUUCUUCUACUUGAAUGCUUGAUUCCGUAUUAGCAACUAUGUUUUACAAUCGUUGUAAAAGUGUGACUAAUAAGAAGUAGAAGAUAUAUGAGAGAAGAAAAGGUGUUUCACAUUCGGAACGUGAAUAAAAUAUAGAUCUCUGCGAAAGCAGAUAGUACUUACUUCCUCAUAUGAACUACCAAAGAAAUUGGAAAAACCAAAGAUUGUCUUUACAUUCCAAUUUUAAGGAACUUAAUUCCGUCACUAUAGUAGAGAUGGAUAAAUGUUUUGUUUGACAAAACAUUGUUCUUUAUUAAUCAAUGAUUGGAUUAUAGUAAUCUAAUUGAUUGUCUCUAUAGUAGAGAUGAUAUGGUAGCGUUAACUGUUUAGAAUAUAACGAUGCUUAAAACCCAAAAGGUUGCAAGGUAGUGACUAAUCCCAACUGAGUUGUGAUACCUCAAAAACAUAAAAUACGAGUUGGUCAUAGAUGGAUGCUUUGGAUCGUUAGAUCCGGAUCCAACACCUUCUUAUUAAAAUUGUAUAGAGGCGAAAUGUUCGAAUCUUUAUUCUUUUGGAAAGAAGAAAGAAUCACAAAGUUGUUGAGGUUAACUCACUUAGAUGUUAGUGGCACUUGUUCACAACAUAAUACUACUCAUGUUGUAUGACAUUCACCGAAGAUCACUCUCAAUUGGACUAUAGUUUAUUUUGAAUAAAUACAAGUCCGAAUACUUUGCAAAAGGUUUCAAAGAAUUCAAGAAAUGUAAGUUGAUGAGUAAGACAUCUAAAGUAUUUGCCUUCUUAGAUUUGAUCCAAGGAAAGAUAACACUUUAGAACAGUUUCCUUGAAAAAUAUCAAGGAAA
Molecule: long non-coding RNA, 874 nt
Filed under: Malus domestica (apple)
Lineage: Eukaryota; Viridiplantae; Streptophyta; Magnoliopsida; Rosales; Rosaceae
Description: long non-coding RNA (MDOM_LNC019557)
Source: RNAcentral